Molecule: ribosomal RNA, 513 nt
Filed under: uncultured bacterium
Lineage: Bacteria
Description: partial 16S ribosomal RNA
Rfam family: Bacterial small subunit ribosomal RNA
Source: RNAcentral
UGGGGAAUUUUGGACAAUGGGGGCAACCCUGAUCCAGCCAUCCCGCGUGUGCGAUGAAGGCCUUCGGUUGUAAAGCACUUUUGGCAGGGAAGAAACAGCCUGGGAUAAUACCCCGGGCGACUGACGGUACCUGCAGAAUAAGCACCGGCUAACUACGUGCCAGCAGCCGCGGUAAUACGUAGGGUGCAAGCGUUAAUCGGAAUUACUGGGCGUAAAGCGUGCGCAGGCGGUUCGGAAAGAAAGGUGUGAAAUCCCAGGGCUUAACCUUGGAACUGCACUUUUAACUACCGAGCUAGAGUACGUCAGAGGGGGGUAGAAUUCCACGUGUAGCAGUGAAAUGCGUAGAGAUGUGGAGGAAUACCGAUGGCGAAGGCAGCCCCCUGGGAUGAUACUGACGCUCAUGCACGAAAGCGUGGGGAGCAAACAGGAUUAGAUACCCUGGUAGUCCACGCCCUAAACCGAUGUCAACUAGCUGUUGGGGUUUAUUAACCUUAGUAGCGCAGCUAACGCGUG